CCUACGGGAGUCAGCAGUGAGGAAUAUUGGUCAAUGGACGAGAGUCUGAACCAGCCAAGUAGCGUGAAGGAUGACUGCCCUAUGGGUUGUAAACUUCUUUUAUAUGGGAAUAAAAUGUUCCACGUGUGGGAUUUUGUAUGUACCAUAUGAAUAAGGAUCGGCUAACUCCGUGCCAGCAGCCGCGGUAAUACGGAGGAUCCGAGCGUUAUCCGGAUUUAUUGGGUUUAAAGGGUGCGGAGGUGGAUUGUUAAGUCAGUUGGGAAAGUUUGCGGCUCAACCGUAAGAUUGCCGUUGAAACUGGCAGUCUUGAGUACAGUAGAGGUGGGCGGAAUUCGUGGUGUAGCGGUGAAAUGCUUAGAUAUCGCGAAGAACUCCGAUUGCGAAGGCAGCUCACUGGACGGGAACUGACACUGAGGCUCGAAAGUGUGGGUAUCAAACAGGAUUAGAUACCCUGGUAGUC
Molecule: ribosomal RNA, 460 nt
Filed under: uncultured bacterium
Lineage: Bacteria
Description: partial 16S ribosomal RNA
Rfam family: Bacterial small subunit ribosomal RNA
Source: RNAcentral